GUGCUUGCUUCAGCAGCACAUAUAUGGAAAUGAGAACAAUACAGAGAUUAGCGUGGUCCCUGCACAAAGAUUACACAAAUUCAUGAAGCAUUCCUUAUUUAA
Molecule: small nuclear RNA, 102 nt
Organism: Sorex fumeus (smoky shrew)
Lineage: Eukaryota; Metazoa; Chordata; Mammalia; Eulipotyphla; Soricidae
Source: RefSeq, a predicted model, not a curated record